This 1343-nucleotide ribosomal RNA is filed under the name uncultured bacterium. RNAcentral's name for it is "16S ribosomal RNA". It matches the Rfam family "Bacterial small subunit ribosomal RNA", at positions 28 to 1378 of the family's 1533-position model. The record is from RNAcentral.
GACGAACGCUGGCGGCGUGCUUAACACAUGCAAGUCGAACGGAAAGGCCCUGCUUUUGUGGGGUGCUCGAGUGGCGAACGGGUGAGUAACACGUGAGUAACCUGCCCUUGACUUUGGGAUAACUUCAGGAAACUGGGGCUAAUACCGGAUAGGAGCUCCUGCUGCAUGGUGGGGGUUGGAAAGUUUCGGCGGUUGGGGAUGGACUCGCGGCUUAUCAGCUUGUUGGUGGGGUAGUGGCUUACCAAGGCUUUGACGGGUAGCCGGCCUGAGAGGGUGACCGGCCACAUUGGGACUGAGAUACGGCCCAGACUCCUACGGGAGGCAGCAGUGGGGAAUAUUGCACAAUGGGCGGAAGCCUGAUGCAGCAACGCCGCGUGCGGGAUGACGGCCUUCGGGUUGUAAACCGCUUUCGCCUGUGACGAAGCGUGAGUGACGGUAAUGGGUAAAGAAGCACCGGCUAACUACGUGCCAGCAGCCGCGGUGAUACGUAGGGUGCGAGCGUUGUCCGGAUUUAUUGGGCGUAAAGGGCUCGUAGGUGGUUGAUCGCGUCGGAAGUGUAAUCUUGGGGCUUAACCCUGAGCGUGCUUUCGAUACGGGUUGACUUGAGGAAGGUAGGGGGGAAUGGAAUUCCUGGUGGAGCGGUGGAAUGCGCAGAUAUCAGGAGGAACACCAGUGGCGAAGGCGGUUCUCUGGGCCUUUCCUGACGCUGAGGAGCGAAAGCGUGGGGAGCGAACAGGCUUAGAUACCCUGGUAGUCCACGCUGUAAACGGUGGGUACUAGGUGUGGGGUCCAUUCCACGGGUUCCGUGCCGUAGCUAACGCUUUAAGUACCCCGCCUGGGGAGUACGGCCGCAAGGCUAAAACUCAAAGGAAUUGACGGGGCCCCGCACAAGCGGCGGAGCAUGCGGAUUAAUUCGAUGCAACGCGUAGAACCUUACCUGGGUUUGACAUGGAUCGGGAGUGCUCAGAGAUGGGUGUGCCUCCUUUGGGGUCGGUUCACAGGUGGUGCAUGGCUGUCGUCAGCUCGUGUCGUGAGAUGUUGGGUUAAGUCCCGCAACGAGCGCAACCCUUGUUCACUGUUGCCAGCACGUUAUGGUGGGGACUCAGUGGAGACCGCCGGGGUCAACUCGGAGGAAGGUGGGGAUGACGUCAAGUCAUCAUGCCCCUUAUGUCCAGGGCUUCACGCAUGCUACAAUGGCUGGUACAGAGAGUGGCGAGCCUGUGAGGGUGAGCGAAUCUCGGAAAGCCGGUCUCAGUUCGGAUUGGGGUCUGCAACUCGACCUCAUGAAGUCGGAGUCGCUAGUAAUCGCAGAUCAGCAACGCUGCGGUGAAUACGUUCCCGGG